RNAcentral lists this long non-coding RNA (1345 nucleotides) under Salmo salar (Atlantic salmon). Its description in RNAcentral is "lncRNA (ENSSSAG00000110059.1)". Lineage: Eukaryota; Metazoa; Chordata; Actinopteri; Salmoniformes; Salmonidae. The record is from RNAcentral.
GACUUUCACCCCUCAUUAUUAAGUGGUGGUGUGUUGUCCAUGGUGCUGGAGUAGGGGAUAGAGCGGAUGAGUUGGUAACUAUGGUUCAAGACAGUGGUGGAAAAACUACCCAAUCGUCAUACUUCAGUAGAAGUAGGAUACCUUAAUAGAAAAUGACUCAAGUAAAAGUGAAAGUCACCCAGCAAAAUACUACUUGAGUAAAAGUCUAAAUAUAUUUGGUUUUAAAUAUACUUAAGUAUCAAAAGUUAAUGUAAUUCCUAAAAUAUACUUAAGUUUCAAAAGUAUAAUUAUAAAUAAUUUCAAAUUCCUUAUAAUAAGCAAACCAGAUUGCAAGAUUUUCUUUUUUUAUUUACGGAUAGCCAGGGGAACACUCCAACACUCAGACAUAGUUUACAAACAAAGCAUUUGUGUUUAGUGAGUCCGCCAGAUCAGAGGCAGUAGAGAUGACCAGGGAUGUUCUCUUGAUAAGUGUGUCAAUGGGACAAUUUUCUUGCCCUGCUAUGUAUUCAAAAUGUAACCAUUGCUUCAGUCAUCCUACAACAACUUUGUAAACUAGCUCAUAACUAUAUCCCCAUCUACUGGUCAUAAAGGAAUAUUGCAUACUGUCUGAGGGGCUGAUGGAGAGGGAUGAAGCCACAUUAUGGCUGAAGUUUCUGUAUUGAACUGACAGUGUUUACCAUUGUGUAGAAGCACAUAGCGCUGCCCCACAGACACUACAUAAAGAGCGACUGCACUUCCUGAUUUGGCCUAGUUUUAGAUUUGGUUCAUUAAGAAAUGCUAUGACUGAAUUCAAAUGUGAGUUGGUUUCGGGAUGUGGUUUGAUGUGGGUGUGUUCACAUGUGGGAAGAGUUAGACAAAUUAUUUGUUGAUGGGGAGAACAGAAUUAGAUAGGAGACCUGACACUCAACACAUCCACAAUGUUAUAAACUCUGCCUGUUUCUACAGAAGGACUGGAGAUGCUUUUGUCAGACUGUAUGCCUUUGUCGUUUGAUGGGGAGUCCACAAUUGGGAAGAAACAUGUAUGGAGCCAGGACAUGGAGACUUGCACGAUGAUCUGAUGAAGUCCAGACUGACAGACGGGCUUGAUACUGAUGUCAAAUCUUUUAUUGUAUUUUUUAGUAUUAAAUGUAAUGGUAUCAGUCAAUAUGGGGAGGGGGAAACACUGUGUUCUGCACCAGGACCUGGGACUUCCUGUUGUAUACGGGACACCAGACUUGGUAUGACCACUCUGUCAUGUUUACCAAGGUAGCCCCAUUACCACCUAACAAAAUGCUGAUAGACACAGUAUCUGUAUCAGCUGGGAAUGACAAUAAAAGAUGAAAGGCACACAUUGUUAUAUUAGCAG